Molecule: long non-coding RNA, 92 nt
Organism: Ipomoea nil (Japanese morning glory)
Lineage: Eukaryota; Viridiplantae; Streptophyta; Magnoliopsida; Solanales; Convolvulaceae
Exons: 3
Source: RefSeq, a predicted model, not a curated record
CAUUUCUCACUGAAGCAGUGUUAGAAAAUAUUUCGGGAAAAAUACUUGUAGACCUUGGAUUGACUUGAAAUUUUUUGUGUAUAAUCUAGACU